Molecule: long non-coding RNA, 1440 nt
Organism: Paramisgurnus dabryanus
Lineage: Eukaryota; Metazoa; Chordata; Actinopteri; Cypriniformes; Cobitidae
Source: RefSeq, a predicted model, not a curated record
GUAAAUCUGCCUCCAUCUUCCCAUGUGCAUAAAGACCCCAUCCAGACAUUUGGUCUUUGCUCUGUCAUGAUUUUUAAGUAGCUCUACCCUCCCAUAACUCCUCCUGUCACAAACACACACGCAGCCUGCUGCGAAGACGUGCUGAAGUGUAAAUCUCACACAGCCGAGCGUUUCCUGCAUCUCUCCGGGCUACGCCGCAGAGACCCCGUUACACCAAAACACACUUAUUAUGCGCCACGACAACAGAAAACAAUGCCUCUUCCCCGGUGAUGACUAUUCGUGGAUGUGUAAUUAUUGGAUGGCUUUAAUCAGAUCCAUUGCAGGAGGAGACGGCGUGCGGAGCAUCAAUCCCAGGCCAUCUGCAGUUGGAGAGCACUCUGCCAAAUGUCUCGGGUGGAUGUGCCCGGCCGAGGAACUGAAGAGAGUCUGUGAACAGCACAAUGUCACAAACUACAUGAAGCAGAAGCCACUCACAAAAACACCUUUUUUUUUCGCACUUUCUCAACCUUCACCGCUGAAAAAGCAGAAGAAUUUGGGCAGAAAUAGGAGCCAGGUGUGUGAUGUUCAGCAUCUAUAUGACCCAGGUCCCAUGAACCAUUACUGACCGUGAAAACCACCACAAGGCCGUGAGGCGUACGGUUCUUCUUCGGCACACAAACACAAGAUCUCUCCUACACUUUCUCUCUGGCUUCUGCUUUAAACCCCACCCAAACCUCGCUCCGCUUGGACGCGGCCUACAUUUCACCAUUCCAGGUUCCACUACGUGUUAUUCUCUUGAAAACACAUUGGAUGACAUCAAGCAGCUCUGGGUUCAUGGAAAAUACAGCCUCUGCUGCCAAAAUGGCUUUUGGUGGACGUUUCUGGGCAGAAGCUCAAACCGUGGUGUGUUUUUCCAGCAGUAAUAAGGGAAUUUUUCAGUUACUGUCUCGUGGCCGGGCUCCACACUGCUCUGCACCGGCCAAAGUUUUCAAAGAAAAAAACAGCUGGAGCUUUGAGUAAAAAUAAGUUCUCUUCUGUCUGUAAAGAGAGACAACUUUUUAUGGUUCACUAGGAGAUUAUUUGCAUUUAAAGGACACCUAAAAUUGAAAAUCUUUCAUAAUUUAUUAACUUCAUGUCAUUUUGACCUGUAUGACUGACUUCUAUUAUAUAAGCAGAAAACAACAAAUGGAUAUUGGACAUGAGGGUGAAUCUUCACUGUGCUAUUGUGCGGUCAUGGGUUUGAACCCAUGAAACACGCAUACUGAUAAGAAAUGUAUCCGUUGUAGUCAUUUCGGAUAAAUGUUGGACAAAAAAAUGAAUAAAUAUUGACAGAGUUUUUCAUUUUUUGAUGAACUGUACUUUUCAUAUGAACAGGAUGCUAUUAUAGUUGGUUUGCUGGAGAAACCAAAAUCACAAAAUUCAAAAUUCUUUCAUUUGCAUAUUGUUUUAUAUCUGAACAGU